GAACGCACAUUGCGCCCGCCAGCAUUCUGGCGGGCAUGCCUGUUCGAGCGUCAUUUCAACCCUCGAGCCCGACUUCCUUGCGGAGGACGGCUCGGCGUUGGGGGACGGCACACUCCCCCCGGCUUGCCGGGGACGCCGCCCCCGAAAUUCAGUGGCGGCCCUCGGAGGCGACCUCUGCGUAGUAAUUUAACCUCGCAAAGGAAAGCUUCGAGCGGCCACGCCGUGAAACCCCAACUAUUUUAAGGUUGACCUCGAAUCAGGUAGGACUACCCGCUGAACUUAAG
Molecule: unclassified non-coding RNA, 284 nt
Filed under: uncultured Hypocreales
Lineage: Eukaryota; Fungi; Ascomycota; Sordariomycetes; Hypocreales
Description: sequence contains 5.8S rRNA gene
Rfam family: 5.8S ribosomal RNA (bases 1-53)
Source: RNAcentral